Molecule: ribosomal RNA, 486 nt
Filed under: uncultured bacterium
Lineage: Bacteria
Description: bacterial SSU rRNA
Rfam family: Bacterial small subunit ribosomal RNA
Source: RNAcentral
UGCUUAAUACAUGCAAGUCGAACGAGGAGCUAUUUUCUUCGGAAGAGAGUUUCCUAGUGGCGAACGGGUGAGUAACGCGUUGGUGACCUGCCUCGAAGUGGGGGAUAACAGUUCGAAAGGACUGCUAAUACCCCAUGGUAUCCGCAGGGUUAGAGACCUGUUGAUUAAAGGAGUAAUUCGCUUCGAGAGGGGCCUGCGUCCCAUCAGCUUGUUGGUAGGGUAAAAGCCUACCAAGGCUAUGACGGGUAGGGGACCUGAGAGGGUGGCCCCCCACAAUGGCACUGAAACACGGGCCAUACACCUACGGGUGGCAGCAGUAGGGAAUAUUGGACAAUGGGCGAAAGCCUGAUCCAGCAACGCCGCGUGCGCGAUGACGGCCUUCGGGUUGUAAAGCGCUUUUAGAGGAGAUGAGAAAGGACAGUAUCCUCUGAAUAAGCCUCGGCUAACUACGUGCCAGCAGCCGCGGUAAAACGUAGGAGGCUAGCG